AGUUUAGUUAAUCAUGUUCAUUGUCUAUUCAGAUGGGAGUAGGAAUUAGCACCGAGCAAACCCAAGGAUGGGAACACACUUGUUAUAUGAGGGUGUGAUUCUUAGAAGCAAUCCUUGCAUUCCAGAACUAUGUAGCCAAUGUAGGUUGAGACAUCAUAGCUUGUUAAAUAUGGGUAGUUGAGGUAGCUUAACCUAUUAUAUGAG
RNAcentral lists this long non-coding RNA (204 nucleotides) under Capsicum annuum. RNAcentral's name for it is "long non-coding RNA (CANN_LNC000476)". The record is from RNAcentral. Lineage: Eukaryota; Viridiplantae; Streptophyta; Magnoliopsida; Solanales; Solanaceae.